RNAcentral lists this ribosomal RNA (440 nucleotides) under uncultured Sphingomonadaceae bacterium. RNAcentral's name for it is "bacterial SSU rRNA". It matches the Rfam family "Bacterial small subunit ribosomal RNA", at positions 338 to 795 of the family's 1533-position model. RNAcentral also lists the same sequence under 1 other name. Lineage: Bacteria; Pseudomonadati; Pseudomonadota; Alphaproteobacteria; Sphingomonadales; Sphingomonadaceae. The record is from RNAcentral.
CCUACGGGGGGCUGCAGUGGGGAAUAUUGGACAAUGGGCGAAAGCCUGAUCCAGCAAUGCCGCGUGAGUGAUGAAGGCCUUAGGGUUGUAAAGCUCUUUUACCAGGGAUGAUAAUGACAGUACCUGGAGAAUAAGCUCCGGCUAACUCCGUGCCAGCAGCCGCGGUAAUACGGAGGGAGCUAGCGUUGUUCGGAAUUACUGGGCGUAAAGCGUGCGUAGGCGGUGACUCAAGUCAGAGGUGAAAGCCUGGAGCUCAACUCCAGAACUGCCUUUGAAACUAGGUCGCUAGAAUCUGGGAGAGGUGAGUGGAAUUCCGAGUGUAGAGGUGAAAUUCGUAGAUAUUCGGAAGAACACCAGUGGCGAAGGCGGCUCACUGGACCAGAAUUGACGCUGAGGCACGAAAGCGUGGGGAGCAAACAGGAUUAGAUACCCCGGUAGUC